This 351-nucleotide unclassified non-coding RNA is filed under the name soil metagenome. RNAcentral describes it as "partial contains 5.8S ribosomal RNA, internal transcribed spacer 2, and large subunit ribosomal RNA". The stretch from base 1 to 120 matches the Rfam family "5.8S ribosomal RNA", at positions 35 to 154 of the family's 154-position model. The record is from RNAcentral.
GAUGAAGAACGUAGCGAAAUGCGAUAAGUAAUGUGAAUUGCAGAAUUCAGUGAAUCAUCGAAUCUUUGAACGCACAUUGCGCCCGCCAGUAUUCUGGCGGGCAUGCCUGUUCGAGCGUCAUUACAACCCUCAGGCCCCGGGCCUGGCGUUGGGGAUCGGCGGAGCCCCCCGUGGGCACACGCCGUCCCCCAAAUGCAGUGGCGGUCCCGCCGCAGCUUCCAUCGCGUAGUAGCUAACACCUCGCGACUGGAGAGCGGCGCGGCCACGCCGUAAAACACCCAACUCUUCUGAAGUUGACCUCGAAUCAGGUAGGAAUACCCGCUGAACUUAAGCAUAUCAAUAAGCGGAGGA